Molecule: transfer RNA, 72 nt
Filed under: Marmota monax (woodchuck)
Lineage: Eukaryota; Metazoa; Chordata; Mammalia; Rodentia; Sciuridae
Description: tRNA.Ala
Source: RNAcentral
UUGGGUUUAGCUCUGUGGUAAAGCAUGUCCUUAGCAUGCACAAAGCCCUGGUUUCAAUCCCUAGCACCAAAC